RNAcentral lists this ribosomal RNA (655 nucleotides) under uncultured Bacillota bacterium. RNAcentral's name for it is "uncultured Firmicutes bacterium partial 16S ribosomal RNA". It matches the Rfam family "Bacterial small subunit ribosomal RNA", at positions 227 to 877 of the family's 1533-position model. The record is from RNAcentral. Lineage: Bacteria; Bacillati; Bacillota.
GGGCCCGCGUCCCAUUAGCUAKUKGKKGAGGUAMCGSCUCACCAAGGSGMCGAUGGGUAACCGGCCYUGAGAGGGGGGRACGSCCCCACUGGGGMUKRAGACACGGSCCCARMUUCCUWMSGGGAGGCCAGCAGUAGGGGAAUAUUCSCCAAUGGMCGGAAGUCUGACGGCAGCGCCCCCGCGUGAGCGAUGAAAGUCUUCGGGAUCGUAAAGCUCUGUCCUGGGGGAAGAAGRMGAAAAGCUUGACGGUACCCCAAGAAGAAAGCCCCCGGCUAACUACGUGCCAGCAGCCGCGGUAAUACGUAGGGGGCGAGCGUUGUCCGGAAUUACUGGGCGUAAAGGGUGCGUAGGCGGCCCUUUAAGUCGGAUGUGAAAGCCCGCGGCUUAWCCGCGGAAUGGCAUUCGAAACUGGAGGGCUUGAGUGUCGGAGAGGGUAGUGGAAUUCCCAGUGUAGCGGUGAAAUGCGUAGAUAUUGGGAGGAACACCAGUGGCGAAGGCGACUACCUGGACGAUAACUGACGCUGAGGCACGAAAGCUAGGGGAGCAAACAGGAUUAGAUACCCUGGUAGUCCUAGCCGUAAUCGCUUGUUACUAGGUGUKGGUGGUUUCGAUACUCAUCCGUGCYGUAGUUAACGCAUUAAGUACCCCGCCKGGG